This is a long non-coding RNA of Phacochoerus africanus (Common warthog), 343 nucleotides long. RefSeq lists it as uncharacterized. The record is from RefSeq and is a predicted model, not a curated record. The transcript is spliced from 3 exons. Lineage: Eukaryota; Metazoa; Chordata; Mammalia; Artiodactyla; Suidae.
CCCUACCGGGUUCUUCUCCUCAAGCUGGAAAAGUGCUUCUAGACUCAGCUCUCACCGGCUCAAGCAACCGAGAAAGAGUCUUCCAGAGUUAUUUGGUGGUGAAACCUUCUUUCCCAGACAUCUGUCUGCAUGGGACUCCAUGCAGAAGAGGAGCUGUAUUGACUGCCUGGAAGCAAUGCCAUGGCUAGAUUCAGGUUUUAAUAUAAACUCCGUGGCUCCUGUGCGGAGCGGAUUCAGAAGUUCUCAGAUUCCAACCUGUGGAUAAGCUUCACCAGAGUCACCUGAGAAGCUUAUGAAAGGGUCAUGCCCAAGCCUCACGUGAAAUCUUCUGAAUCAGGAUCUC